GAUGCUGAGCGGUUUUGCAGACUACCAUCUUCACUGCAACUCUGAAGGAUGGAUUUAACCACCACCAUGUCGAGCAAAAGAACAAAGACCAAGACCAAGAAGCGCCCUCAGCGUGCAACAUCCAAUGUGUUUGCUAUGUUUGACCAGUCACAGAUUCAGGAGUUCAAAGAGGCCUUCAACAUGAUUGAUCAGAACAGAGAUGGUUUCAUCGACAAGGAAGAUUUGCAUGAUAUGCUUGCUUCAUUGGGUAAUGCUCAGUUUAAAUAUUAAUCUAUUGGAUAGAAUUUCCACAGUGCCUUUCAUGUUGCUUUCAUGAGUCUUAAAGCUCUGUAAGCCUGUCUAAUGAGUCUACUAAGGUUUGAGUAAAGUGUGGAACAGUGUUUCCCACCAGACCACCAGCAGAUUCCUGACCCUGUCUUAGGAUUGGGUUGGGGUUCGUGUGUGUGUGUGUGUGUGUGUGUGUGUGUGUGUAUAAAAACACUGAUCUUGAUUAUGGAAGCAGUAUUAUUCCUUCUGACAUUCCAGUGGACUAUCAUACUCUCCAGACUCUUUAAUAGGCCCUAUUCAUUAAGAAAACUUU
Molecule: small RNA, 580 nt
Filed under: Pongo abelii (Sumatran orangutan)
Lineage: Eukaryota; Metazoa; Chordata; Mammalia; Primates; Hominidae
Description: retained intron
Source: RNAcentral